GAUGAACGCUAGCGGCAGGCCUAACACAUGCAAGUCGAGGGGCAUCGCGGUGCAGCAAUGCACUGGCGGCGACCGGCGUACGGGUGCGUAACGCGUAUGCAACCUGCCCCGCACCGGGGGAUAGCCCGCCGAAAGGCGGAUUAAUACCCCAUGGUCCCGGGGGCCCGCAUGGGCAUCCGGGUAAAGCCUUGGCGGUGCGGGAUGGGCAUGCGUGCCAUUAGCUGGCUGGUGGGGUAACGGCCCACCAGGGCAACGAUGGCUAGGGGGUCUGAGAGGAUGGUCCCCCAACUGGUACUGAGACACGGACCAGACUCCUACGGGAGCAGCAGUGAGGAAUAUUGGUCAAUGGGCGAAGCCUGAACCAGCCAUGCGCGUGCGGGAUGAAGGCCCUACGGGUUGUAAACCGCUUUUCCCCGGGAAGAAUAACCCCGAUGAGUCGGGGAUGCCGGUACCGGGGAAUAAGGAUCGGCUAACUCCGUG
RNAcentral lists this ribosomal RNA (480 nucleotides) under uncultured bacterium. RNAcentral's name for it is "bacterial SSU rRNA". It matches the Rfam family "Bacterial small subunit ribosomal RNA", at positions 28 to 507 of the family's 1533-position model. The record is from RNAcentral.